Lineus longissimus is the source of this 636-nucleotide long non-coding RNA. RefSeq lists it as uncharacterized. The transcript has 4 exons. The record is from RefSeq and is a predicted model, not a curated record. NCBI's taxonomy places the organism in Eukaryota, Metazoa, Nemertea, Pilidiophora, Heteronemertea, Lineidae.
UACACAUCUCACACAUUAUCGCAAUACCCAUUCAGCCAAAGGGUUAAUGCAUUGGCAUCGUUCAAACAUCAGCGCGCUUCUGUACACGUGCUCGAAUUAGAUACGACGGUUUUCAUUGGCUCAUAAGUUGUGUCACAUGACCAUUCACCCGGCUUGAAAAUUUCAUGAAAUUUGGACCAAAAUUAACGAAACAGUGGCGAUUUCCAUGUUUUUUAUCGAUUUUUCGACAAGUUACAGAUUUCGGAAUUCUUCAAGACUAGAUAGCCGGCUGGUUGCAUGGUGUGUACUGCAGAUAACUUCUCGACUUAAUCCGGCUGAUGUGAUGCUUUAGUUGAUUCGAGAGGCUACAUGUAUAUAGGCCCAGUACGUCGACAUCAUUGAUCCGGCAGUGAACAAGAUAAGUGGUUCAGCCUCCAAGAUGUGUCACCAGAAAUGCAACCGACAUUAUAGACAGGCGUGAUUACUACUCUGAUUUUGGACUGAUGGUAUACUCGUCUUCAAAAUGGACCUGACUAGGAAUGAUGAUGGUGACUUCCCUCCUCAGAAAAAAGCUCGGUUGGAUUCGAAAGUUGGUGCAGGCGGUCAUUAGCGAUAUUUCGGUCGUAAACGCAAGAAGUCCAAGAAAUCCACUGACAA